AACGAACGCUGGCGGCAUGCCUAACACAUGCAAGUCGAACGAGACCUUCGGGUCUCGUGGCGCACGGGUGCGUAACGCGUGGGAACCUGCCCUUAGGUUCGGAAUAAAUCCCCGAAAGGGGUGCUAAUACCGGCUAAUGUCUUCGGACCAAAGAUUUAUCGCCAUUGGAUGGGCGCGCGUUGGUUUAGCUCGUUGGUAGGGUAAAAGCCUACCACGGCGCCGUUCCAUAGCUGGUCUGAGAGGAUGAUCAGCCACACUGGGAGUGAGACACGGCCCAGACCCAUACGAGACGGAGGAGUGGGGAAUACUGGAAAGUGGGAGAGAGUCUGGGAGAGCUAUGGCGUGGGAGUGAUGAAGGCCUGAGGGGUGUAAAGCUCUUUUAGCCGGGAAGAUAAUGACGGUACCGGGAGAAUAAGCACCGGCUAACUCCGUG
RNAcentral lists this ribosomal RNA (433 nucleotides) under uncultured bacterium. RNAcentral's name for it is "partial 16S ribosomal RNA". It matches the Rfam family "Bacterial small subunit ribosomal RNA", at positions 29 to 507 of the family's 1533-position model. The record is from RNAcentral.